UUAUUGAUUCAUUGAUUGAUUCCUCUUUAAGGAGGUACAACCCAUCCUUAUAUAGAUACAAAGACUUGCCCACAAGUUACUAACUCAAUCUUAUCUAAUCUAAUCCAAAGUAAGUAACUAACACAAUCUUAUCUAAUCUAAUCCUAAGUAACUAACUCAAUCUUAUAUAAUCUAAUCUUUAUCCACUAAUCCUAACCCUGAGCCUAUCCCUAUGGCCUUCAACUCUCCAUGCUCUGGGCUGCCGCCCCACGACAAUGUGCCGAGCUGAUCGUCUUCAGAUUCUGUUUUCAGUCAAUUAAAAAUAGGUUCACCUUCCCGUUCAAAAGGGAAAAAAAUCCCAGGAAUGUAAUGGAGAAAACAAAUACUCCCUACAUCCUAAAAUAUUAUUUGUUUUAGCCCUUAAAUUUUAUAUUUAUAUUCAAAUAAAUGACAAUAAAUCUAGACAUAUAUAAAACACAUAUAUUAAAUAUUAUAUAAAUCUAUUCAAAUGCUAAAACGACUAAUAUUUUUAGGACGAGAGAGUACAUUACAAAUAGUUUUGUUCGUGCACCAAGAAAAAUUCCCAUGAAAAAGGAAGAAUUUCUAUCCGACUGAUGUAAUAACUUAUUUUCUAAGAAUAAAAGAGUACAAAUGGACGAAUCAAAAUUGUGUGGAGAAAACAGAACCUUGUAUUUUCAGGCACUUCAGUCAGUAUUUCGCUUCGAAGUUCUGCAACUCUGAAAAUUCCACCGUGCUGAAUACUCAAUCAAUUCUUCAACACUUCUGCCAGGACUCGAGAGAAGGAAACCCCUGAUUGCCCACGCAAACUUCGGCAGCCACCAUGUUCUUUUUCCAGUUUAUUAUGAGCAUUUAGAGCACCUGCCAGCACAAAUUGGACUAUGUACCAACAACAAAAGGUAAUAGAACUGUCGAAGAGAUUUCCACUAGGCCGCCGCAAAAACAAAAAGAAAAGAUUGCACAUCACAUCAGACACAACAGAGCACAAGACAACAAAUCGGUGGAUAAAUUUAGGUGUCCACAUCACUGCAAACUGCCUUGAGAAGUCUGAUCACAUCGCCAUCCGCGUGCAUUGAGCAUGUGAGAAAAUUGCUGGACCAAACAUGGAAAACAUCUACAAAAAACAGUUUGGAGACAAGACAAGAUGAGGUAGGAACACAGUACACGAGAUAGGAACACGAGACCAAUUCAACGACCCAGUGGGGAGAAAAUUUGUGGAAAAAAGGGGUUACAGCUAGGAUGCAAAUGCAAAUCACAUUCGAGAUACCUUUCCUUGUCUACUUGCUGUUCCGCAUGGCAAUACUAUCCACUUGUCAAAUUCCUUUUCCGCACAACAUACACAUCGAUAUGGGUAGUAAUCAAACUCCUCACUGAUUGUUAGGAUAUGCACAUAGCCUAUCACCCUCACACACGUUGCAGGCGCACUGGAACAGCAAUCAUGUUUCAGGAAACAUAUUUUAGGCUGGAUUAGCAGAAUUUCAUAUGUGAUCAUGUCUGACAAGGUUAUGCAGUAUGUUUCAACUAAAACGACUGCAGAAAUUUGCACAUCUCAACUUCUACACAUCAAUCAGCAUUGGUAGUGUGACGUUGAACAAUAAAUAUGGAGAAUGGGGAGAUAAUGACCAUUACCUCCAUUUCAGAAGUACCUCAACAACUCUCUAUCUUGCUAUAAAUUCCCUCAACUUCAUCAACUUGUCAGUAAGUGUUGCCAUGAUCACUACGAGAAGACUAUUUCCUUGAUGCUUCUCAUAAUUACCAAACUUCUGUUGUGUUAUACUCGUUUCAGCUGGUCUGUCACUUCAGCACUCCAACUGGUUAUUUGCUUGUGCAAUCAUCAAUCAUUGAUUAUGGUGUUUGUACAAAUGAAAACUUAACAUUGAUGUCAAAUCCAUGGGCUCCAAAGAAUCAAAUGAUAGCUUCAACUCACAAUUUCCAAACAGUGAGCUUAAUUAGAAAGGAUCCGUACUAAAAUCUUCAGUAGGAACUUGGCUACUAAAUGAUAUGACAAAAACAGAGCCGAACUGUAGCCAAUCAGCCAUAAAAGUGUUCUAGAGACUGUUGAUUCUCUACACCAAAUCAGACCAAAAUCGUUCAUGAUCAGCAUUAACAGAAAAGUAACAUUGGGGAAAUAUACUACACAAAAGUUCAAAAACAACUGCACAAUUGGACCGUUAAUUGUAGGUAUAUAUAUCAGCAAUGCACUAUUGUAUCUUGAAAAAUAAAACAUAAUGGUAGAUCUUCCUUUCUUUUGUGGAUACCAACCCACUAACAGGUAAUGA
RNAcentral lists this long non-coding RNA (2276 nucleotides) under Zea mays. RNAcentral describes it as "long non-coding RNA (ZMAY_LNC002174)". The record is from RNAcentral. Lineage: Eukaryota; Viridiplantae; Streptophyta; Magnoliopsida; Poales; Poaceae.